GACGAACGCUGGCGGCGUGCUUAACACAUGCAAGUCGAACGAUGAUGCCAGCUUGCUGGUGGAUUAGUGGCGAACGGGUGAGUAACACGUGAGCAACCUGCCCCUGACUUCGGGAUAACCGCGGGAAACCGUGGCUAAUACCGGAUAUGACGCGCUAUCGCAUGGUGGUGUGUGGAAAGAUUUAUCGGUUGGGGAUGGGCUCGCGGCCUAUCAGCUUGUUGGUGGGGUGAUGGCCUACCAAGGCGACGACGGGUAGCCGGCCUGAGAGGGUGACCGGCCACACUGGGCCUGAGACACGGCACAGACGCCUCCGGGAGGCAGCAGUGGGGAAUAUGGCACAAUGUGCGCAAGCCUGAUGCAGCGACGCCGCGUGAGGGAUGACGGCCUUCGGGUUGUAAACCUCUUUCAGUAGGGAAGAAGGCCUUCGGGUUGACGGUACCUGCAGAAGAAGCGCCGGCUAACUACGUG
RNAcentral lists this ribosomal RNA (468 nucleotides) under uncultured bacterium. RNAcentral describes it as "partial 16S ribosomal RNA". It matches the Rfam family "Bacterial small subunit ribosomal RNA", at positions 28 to 507 of the family's 1533-position model. The record is from RNAcentral.